CCAAUAGCGUAUAUUAAAGUUGUUGCAGUUAAAAAGCUCGUAGUUGAAUUUUGGAUUCUGCCAAUUGGUCCAUCUUUUAGAUGAGUACUGGUUGUGUGGGGUCUAUCCGCCUGGUGAUACGUAAUGUCCUUUAUUGGAUGUUGCGGGUAGUCAGGACCUUUACCUUGAAAAAAUUAGAGUGUUUAAAGCAGGCUUAUGCCGGAAUACAUUAGCAUGGAAUAAUAGAAUAGGACGAAGUUGUUUUAUUUUGUUGGUUUCUAGGACAACCGUAAUGAUUAAUAGGGAUAGUUGGGGGCAUUAGUAUUCAAUUGUCAGAGGUGAAAUUCUUGGAUUUAUUGAAGACUAACUACUGCGAAAGCAUUUGCCAAGGAUGUUUUCAUUAAUCAAGAACGAAAGUUAGGGGAUCGAAGACGAUCAGAUACCGUCGUAGUCUUAACCAUAAACUAUGCCGACUAGGGAUCGGGCGAUGUUGUUUCCAUGACUCGCUCGGCACCUUAUG
Molecule: ribosomal RNA, 499 nt
Filed under: uncultured Glomeromycotina
Lineage: Eukaryota; Fungi; Glomeromycota
Description: SSU rRNA
Rfam family: Eukaryotic small subunit ribosomal RNA
Source: RNAcentral